RNAcentral lists this ribosomal RNA (469 nucleotides) under uncultured bacterium. RNAcentral describes it as "bacterial SSU rRNA". It matches the Rfam family "Bacterial small subunit ribosomal RNA", at positions 329 to 794 of the family's 1533-position model. The record is from RNAcentral.
CGCCAGACUCCUACGGGAGGCAGCAGUGAGGAAUAUUGGUCAAUGGGCGCGAGCCUGAACCAGCCAAGUCGCGUGAGGGAGGACGGCCCUACGGGUUGUAAACCUCUUUUGCCGGGGAGCAACGGGCGUCACGUGUGGCGCCACUGAGAGUACCCGGAGAAAAAGCAUCGGCUAACUCCGUGCCAGCAGCCGCGGUAAUACGGAGGAUGCGAGCGUUAUCCGGAUUUACUGGGUGUAAAGGGAGCGUAGACGGCGCUGCAAGUCCGGAGUGAAAGUCCAUGGCUUAACCAUGGUACUGCUCUGGAAACUGUGGAGCUUGAGUGCGGGAGGGGCAGGCGGAAUUCCUAGUGUAGCGGUGAAAUGCGUAGAUAUUAGGAGGAACACCGGCGGCGAAGGCGGCCUGCUGGACCGUAACUGACGUUGAGGCUCGAAAGCGUGGGGAGCAAACAGGAUUAGAUACCCUUGUAGA